GUGAUCUGACCACCACACCAACAGCAUGGAUAACAAGGCUUCAGAUGCAGGGCAGAUCUGUGUAGAGGAAACAUUAACAGAAUCAUUGUAUCUAGGAUAAACAUCUGAAUGAACAGUUGUUUUCUAGAAGAAUUUAGACCUUGAAGAAAUCAUUGUGGAAAACAGUGAUUGUUUGGUGUUAUCUACGGAGUCCGUUUUCUGAAAGAGCGUUACAGCCUUUGUAUGCUUUGGUCACAAGAUGGUCCUGGCACACCUGGAUGUCUUGAAUAAUUGGUUACUGCAAACUGUACACAAUAAGGACUGAAGUUACAGGCUUGUGAUGUUUCCCUUCAGAGAACAUACAGAUUACAUCAGGGGCUUUGGUAUGAAGACUUGUUUUACCCCCAAACCAACUUUUAUGUAACAAUCAAUAAACAGACUUUUGCUCAGCAGUCUGUCCCUGCUGCCAGAGAGUCUAAAAUUCAUCUUGGAGUGACCCUCUUUCUUCAACUGACCCACACAGCACAGAACGCCUGACAGGUCUGUAGAGAAGGGUGGGGAGAGCUGGGCACAGACACGCAAUCCCGGGCCCUAGCAAUCAGGAAGAUGGCUGUGGAUUCAGAGUUAGCCUGGGCUGUGUGGUGAGACUUGUUUCACAAAAGCAAAAAUGAACCUGAGCUAGAGAGAGAGAGAGAGAGAGAGAGAGAGAGAGAGAGAGAGAGAGAGAGAGAGAGAUGAUGGUGAUGAUGAACAGAGGUCACUUCCUAAAUUCUGGACAUUCUCCCUCCAUGGAAUCAUUAUCCAAAAUGCAACUAUUAAAUAAAAAUUGUGUAGUGCUGGAGAUAGCUCACUGGUUAAGAGCACUUACUGGUCUUCCAGAGGACCUGAGUUCAGUUCCCAGCACCCACAUCUGAUGGUUCACAACUGUCAGCUCCAAGAGGAUCCCAUGCCUAUUGCCUCCAACCUCCGCAGGCACCUGCAUUCAUGAGCACACACAUACAUGUAAUUUAAAUAAUGAAAAUAAAUCUUAGUUGUGUAGGGUUGGAGAUGUAGCUCAGUUGGUAAAAUGUUUCCCUACCAUGAAUGAAAUGUUGGAUUCAGUCUCAAGCAUCACAUAAAAGCUAAGUUACGGAGCAUCACAUGGGAGCUACAAGCAGGAGGACCAGAAGUUCAAGGUCAUCCUCAGAUACUUAGCAAGUUUAAAGACAGUCCGGACAACGUGAGAUUCUGCCUCCAAAAUAGAAAUAACUCCCCAUCCCUUGUUUUUUUUUCAAGACCGGGUUUCUCUGCAUAACAGCCCUGGCUGUCCUGGAACUCACUUUUUAGACCAAGCUGCCCUUGAGUCUGCCUCCCAAGUGAUGGGAUUAAAGGUGAAUGCCACCACACUGGGCAAUAUAUAUAUUUUAAAUUAUGGGACUAGGUGCCUAUAGUGGUUCAAAUGAACCAACCAGCCUAGACUUUAAUCACAAUAGUGGGCUUUUGUUGGUUAUAAGACACCUAGUAGCCAAUGCACUAAAGAACUCUUUGACACCUAACUAAGCUGUGCAGUGUUAAGGUGUUCCUGUGCUCUGCUGUCUAUGGAUGCUGCACGAUCUGGUUAUUGGUUGGAGACCUCAGAACUGGUUCUGCUUGUGGGACUUGCCUGAUCCUGAGCUCUUCUCUGCUCAGAUAAGCUUCACUAGAGUGCACUGGGUGAAGGACUGUUCCUUUCAGCUCCAGCAUAAUAUGCUUUUGUCCUGUAAUACUCUUCCAGCCAGGGUGGUGUUGCAAGAAGCCCCACUUGCUAAUGAAUAGCAGGUGCGGGGAAAGGAAGUCUGGGUCUGUUUUUGCUCACUAGCAACACCUGCUUCUCUUUUUGGUACAGGGAAUCUAACCGAGGGCCUCACAAAUACUAGGGUCCCAAGUAGCUGAGGAUAACCAUGGACUCCUGGUUCUCUUACCACCUCCUCCCCAGUACUGGAACUGUAAGCGCGCCCCACCGUGACCAGUUUUAAAGAUGGAAUUGUCCAUUGUGGAAAAACAAAACAAAACAAAAAAAUGGCAGCAAUCACACACACUCCCCGAGAGACCAAAGCCUUGGGCUCUGCACACCCUACCUGCCGCACACAAAGGAAAAGCUGGAGGGGGAAUCCAAAGGCUGUGAAGAGAGAAAAGACGGAAGUAAUCCUCAAGGAUUGUCCUCAAGGUCGUCUGCUAACCCUGCCCUCCAGGGCCAGAGCCCACGCCUGAAAAGUCCCCUGCAAAGAAAGCAGUGAAGUCGUCUCAGGACGGAGAGCGCUAGGCCGACGGAGAGUGCAAGGCGGACACCGACAGAGAUGCAGUGGCCCUGCCCCACACGCAGAUGCCAACGGGGCAGGCCCCAGGACGGAAGGUGCUGCCCAUGUCCGGUGGGGUGUGUGCUUUUAAGGAAGUGCACAUUUCUGGCACCUAUGCAGUUUUUUCCCAAAUUGGAUUUCAUUUUACUUCCCCCCUAAACUAUGCUAUGUUGUCAGCAUGCAGGACACAUCCUGGUAUUUAUUUACCGAUUCGUUCGUUCAUUCAUUAUUUAUUUGUUUAUUUACAGUC
Molecule: long non-coding RNA, 2544 nt
Organism: Mesocricetus auratus (golden hamster)
Lineage: Eukaryota; Metazoa; Chordata; Mammalia; Rodentia; Cricetidae
Exons: 2
Source: RefSeq, a predicted model, not a curated record